This 468-nucleotide ribosomal RNA is filed under the name uncultured bacterium. RNAcentral describes it as "partial 16S ribosomal RNA". It matches the Rfam family "Bacterial small subunit ribosomal RNA", at positions 28 to 507 of the family's 1533-position model. The record is from RNAcentral.
GACGAACGCUGGCGGCGUGCUUAACACAUGCAAGUCGAACGGAAAGGCCCUGCUUUUGUGGGGUGCUCGAGUGGCGAACGGGUGAGUAACACGUGAGUAACCUGUCCUUGACUUUGGGAUAACUUCAGGAAACUGGGGCUAAUACCGGAUAGGAGCUCCUGCUGCAUGGUGGGGGUUGGAAAGUUUCGGCGGUUGGGGAUGGACUCGCGGCUUAUCAGCUUGUUGGUGGGGUAGUGGCUUACCAAGGCUUUGACGGGUAGCCGGGCUGAGAGGGUGACCGGCCACAUUGGGACUGAGAUACGGCCCAGACUCCUACGGGAGGCAGCAGUGGGGAAUAUUGCACAAUGGGCGGAAGCCUGAUGCAGCAACGCCGCGUGCGGGAUGACGGCCUUCGGGUUGUAAACCGCUUUCGCCUGUGACGAAGCGUGAGUGACGGUAAUGGGUAAAGAAGCACCGGCUAACUACGUG